CUUGGUCAUUUAGAGGAAGUAAAAGUCGUAACAAGGUUUCCGUAGGUGAACCUGCGGAAGGAUCAUUAAUGAUUUUUUAAGCAAUCCGAGCGAGAUAAAGCGAGGAUUGCGAAAUAUUUAAAACCCCACUCUUUUUAACUUUAUAUAAUAAUAAAUCAUGAUACAUGAAUUUAAAAAGAAGAUCACUUUCAACAACGGAUCUCUUGGCUCUCGCAUCGAUGAAGAACGCAGCGAAAUGCGAUAAGUAGUGUGAAUUGCAGAAAUUGUGAAUCAUCGAAUCUUUGAACGCAAAUUGCACUCUCUGGUAUUCCGGGGAGUAUGCCUGUUUGAGGGUCGUUAGAACAAAAAUCGAAGCGUCGCUCUUUACGAAAUUAUUAUAUUUUGUUUGGGUGAUUGCGUCGGAAUUGAGCCUUCUUUCAUAUGUUAAUUCAUGUCAAAGUGGCUUAAAAUUCAUCAAUCUGGUACGAUUUAAAGCGUAUUUAAGAUCAACCUUGAUUAAGAACGCGCGAUGACGUACCAUCUCAUGUAGUACGUUCGACCUGCUUGUCAGGCUCAUUCGUAUACGACAUUCAACUUUUGACCUCAAAUCAGGUAAGAAUACCCGCUGAACUUAAGCAUAUCAAUAAGCGGAGGAAAAGAAAAUAACAAUGAUUCCCUCAGUAACGGCGAGCGAAGAGGGAUAAGCUCAAAUUUUAAAUCUGUUGGGUUUUUCACCUAACAGAGUUGUAUUUUGAAGAAACGUUUUCUGCGUCCAGGAUUAGCCUAAAUCCUUUGGGAUAAGGUAUCAUGGAGGGUGAGAAUCCCGUUCAUGGUUAAUCUUAAGGAUGCUCUACGAUACGUUCUCCAAGAGUCGAGUUGUUUGGGAAU
RNAcentral lists this small RNA (867 nucleotides) under uncultured Glomus. Its description in RNAcentral is "eukaryotic LSU rRNA". The stretch from base 578 to 867 matches the Rfam family "Eukaryotic large subunit ribosomal RNA", at positions 1 to 281 of the family's 3401-position model. The record is from RNAcentral. Lineage: Eukaryota; Fungi; Glomeromycota; Glomeromycetes; Glomerales; Glomeraceae.